CCUACGGGGGGCAGCAGUGGGGAAUUUUGGACAAUGGGGGCAACCCUGAUCCAGCCAUGCCGCGUGCGGGAAGAAGGCCUUCGGGUUGUAAACCGCUUUUGUCAGGGAAGAAAUCUUCCGAGCUAAUACCUUGGGAGGAUGACGGUACCUGAAGAAUAAGCACCGGCUAACUACGUGCCAGCAGCCGCGGUAAUACGUAGGGUGCAUGCGUUAAGCGGAAUUACUGGGGGCAGUUCGUGAAGAGAGGUGUGAAAUCCCCGGGCUUAACCUGGGAACUGCACUUGUGACUGUACGGCUGGAGGACGGCAGAGGGGGAUGGAAUUCCGCGUGUAGCAGUGAAAUGCGUAGAUAUGCGGAGGAACACCGAUGGCGAAGGCAGUCCCCUGGGCCUGUACUGACGCUCAUGCACGAAAGCGUGGGGAGCAAACAGGAUUAGAUACCCGGGUAGUC
This 450-nucleotide ribosomal RNA is filed under the name uncultured bacterium. RNAcentral's name for it is "partial 16S ribosomal RNA". It matches the Rfam family "Bacterial small subunit ribosomal RNA", at positions 338 to 795 of the family's 1533-position model. The record is from RNAcentral.